RNAcentral lists this transfer RNA (68 nucleotides) under Marmota monax (woodchuck). RNAcentral describes it as "tRNA.Ala". Lineage: Eukaryota; Metazoa; Chordata; Mammalia; Rodentia; Sciuridae. The record is from RNAcentral.
GCUGGGGCUCUGUGGUAGAGCACUUGCCUUGCACACGUGAGGCACUGGGUUCGAAUCUCAGCACCGCA